This 72-nucleotide transfer RNA is filed under the name Chlamydiae bacterium RIFCSPHIGHO2_12_FULL_49_11. Its description in RNAcentral is "tRNA-Thr". It matches the Rfam family "tRNA". From Rfam's summary of the family: Transfer RNA (tRNA) molecules are approximately 80 nucleotides in length. Their secondary structure includes four short double-helical elements and three loops (D, anti-codon, and T loops). The record is from RNAcentral. Lineage: Bacteria; Pseudomonadati; Chlamydiota.
GCCCGGGUAGCUCAGAGGUAGAGCGUUUGCAUGGUAAGCAAGAGGGCGCAGGUUCGAUUCCUGUUCUGGGCA